GCGGAGGAAAAGAAAAUAACCAUGAUUUCCCUAGUAACGGCGAGUGAAGAGGAAAAAGCUCAGAGUUGGAACCUGCUUGCCUUAGGUUAGCCGGAUUGUAAACUGUAGACAUGUCUUCCAUACACGCACGGUGAUUAAGUCCUUUGGAACAGGGCAUCAUAGAGGGUGAGAAUCCCGUUUAUGGCCGUAGUUGUUGUUGUUGUGUUGCGUGUUCAAAGAGUCAGGUUGUUUGGGAAUGCAGCCUAAAUUGGGUGGUAAAUCUCACCUAAAGCUAAAUAUUUACGAGAGACCGAUAGCGAACAAGUACCGUGAGGGAAAGAUGAAAAAUACUUUGAAAAGAGGGUUAAACAGUAUGUGAAAUUGUUAAAAGGGAACCGUUUGGAGCCAGACUGGCUUGUUUGUAAUCAAUCUACGCUUCGGUGUGGAUGCACUUGCAGACAUUGCCUGCCAACGACAAUUUUGCCUGGGAGAAAAAGCGAGAUCGAAUGUGGCCUAUCCUUCGGGAUGGGUGUUAUAGCGAUUUUGAAAAUAUCCUGGGCGGGAUUGAGGAUCGCAGCGAAUGCCUUUAGGUUUUGAUAUGUUGAUGCUUGCGUCGAUUGAUGCUAGAAUUUCUGCUUCGGGUGGUGCUAGUGUCCUGAGAUGUGACCCGUUGAUAAUACUCUUAUUCGCUUAGGUUGUUGGCUUAAUGACUCUAAAUGAC
This 700-nucleotide ribosomal RNA is filed under the name Mucor microsporus. Its description in RNAcentral is "eukaryotic LSU rRNA". It matches the Rfam family "Eukaryotic large subunit ribosomal RNA", at positions 50 to 648 of the family's 3401-position model. Lineage: Eukaryota; Fungi; Mucoromycota; Mucoromycetes; Mucorales; Mucoraceae. The record is from RNAcentral.